Molecule: non-coding RNA, 646 nt
Organism: Drosophila melanogaster (fruit fly)
Lineage: Eukaryota; Metazoa; Arthropoda; Insecta; Diptera; Drosophilidae
Source: Ensembl
ACAAAGCCCAUGUACGAGCACAUAAUAUUUUCAAUAUAAUUUCCCUUCUUGAUUCCGGAUGAGAUCCCCGAAGACGUCAGAAACUUUUCACCGCACAGCAACAUAGCCGGAAAACCCCAAUGCGAGGCGCGCUGAAAAAGAAUGGGCUGCGUAACUUGAAAGGAAGAUGCGUAAAAGUAAUUUUAAUCGAAAAUUGAUUUAUAAUUGGAAAAUCUCAUUUGCAGAAAUUGAUUUACCGCAGCAUCCGCAGCACCAAGAAGGAAUCCUUCCACCAUGUCCCCGUUCCCGUCACCAUCUUCGUCGCAGACUUCACCUCGUCCUUUUUCGAAGCCACGUUGCCUUCCGGGAAAAUGCGUCCAAUAUUUUUCUGUUCAAAGGCAGUUUUCCAACGGGAAGGAAGCUGAGGUAACCGAGCGUCAAGUGGUUGAGCCAACAAAACUUUUGCCAGCAGAAAAAUGUCUGCUAAGGACGAACAGCUGCGUGAACUUGCUAAGAAAUGAGAACACUCGCCAAAACUAAUAAAGGCUAUUAAUGUAUUUUAAGAUUCUAAAAAAAUAUAUAUUUAUGUCAAUUAAAUUUCUUAAAAAAAAAUAAAGAAAAGAAAUAAAUGAAUAUCCUUUUCUCUAUUAGAGCAAUUUAAAUUUAU